GAGUUUGAUUCUGGCUCAGGAUGAACGCUGGCGGCGUGCUUAACACAUGCAAGUCGAGCGAAGCGCUUUUGCGGAUUUCUUCGGAUUGAAGCAAUUGUGACUGAGCGGCGGACGGGUGAGUAACGCGUGGGUAACCUGCCUCAUACAGGGGGAUAACAGUUGGAAACGGCUGCUAAUACCGCAUAAGCGCACAGUACCGCAUGGUACCGUGUGAAAAACUCCGGUGGUAUGAGAUGGACCCGCGUCUGAUUAGCUAGUUGGUGGGGUAACGGCCUACCAAGGCGACGAUCAGUAGCCGACCUGAGAGGGUGACCGGCCACAUUGGGACUGAGACACGGCCCAAACUCCUACGGGAGGCAGCAGUGGGGAAUAUUGCACAAUGGGGGAAACCCUGAUGCAGCGACGCCGCGUGAGCGAUGAAGUAUUUCGGUAUGUAAAGCUCUAUCAGCAGGGAAGAAAAUGGCG
RNAcentral lists this ribosomal RNA (465 nucleotides) under Blautia sp. canine oral taxon 145. Its description in RNAcentral is "bacterial SSU rRNA". It matches the Rfam family "Bacterial small subunit ribosomal RNA", at positions 9 to 456 of the family's 1533-position model. Lineage: Bacteria; Bacillati; Bacillota; Clostridia; Lachnospirales; Lachnospiraceae. The record is from RNAcentral.